RNAcentral lists this ribosomal RNA (411 nucleotides) under Bacteroidota bacterium. Its description in RNAcentral is "Bacteroidetes bacterium partial 16S ribosomal RNA". It matches the Rfam family "Bacterial small subunit ribosomal RNA", at positions 355 to 776 of the family's 1533-position model. The record is from RNAcentral. Lineage: Bacteria; Pseudomonadati; Bacteroidota.
UGGGGAAUAUUGCGCAAUGGGGGAAACCCUGACGCAGCGACGCCGCGUGCGGGAUGAAGGCCUUCGGGUUGUAAACCGCUUUUGAUUGGGAGCAAGCUUUCGGGUGAGUGUACCUUUCGAAUAAGCGCCGGCUAACUACGUGCCAGCAGCCGCGGUAAUACGUAGGGCGCAAGCGUUAUCCGGAAUUAUUGGGCGUAAAGCGCGCGUAGGCGGUUUUUUAAGUCUGAUGUGAAAGCCCACGGCUCAACCGUGGAGGGUCAUUGGAAACUGGAAAACUUGAGUGCAGAAGAGGAAAGUGGAAUUCCAUGUGUAGCGGUGAAAUGCGCAGAGAUAUGGAGGAACACCAGUGGCGAAGGCGACUUUCUGGUCUGUAACUGACGCUGAUGUGCGAAAGCGUGGGGAUCAAACAGG